This 465-nucleotide ribosomal RNA is filed under the name uncultured bacterium. RNAcentral's name for it is "partial 16S ribosomal RNA". It matches the Rfam family "Bacterial small subunit ribosomal RNA", at positions 339 to 795 of the family's 1533-position model. The record is from RNAcentral.
CUACGGGGCGCUCCAGUCGAGAAUCAUUGACAAUGUACGAAAGUAUGAUCAUGCGACGCCGCGUGGAGGAAGACGGCCUUCGGGUUGUAAACUCCUGUCAGCAGGGAAGAAAAAUGGUUUUUCGAAUACAAUGACCAUUCGACGGUACCUGCAGAGGAAGUCACGGCUAACUCUGUGCCAGCAGCCGCGGUAAUACAGAGGUGGCGAACGUUGUUCGGAUUUACUGGGCGUAAAGGGUCCGCAGGCGGCCUGGUGUGUCGGAUGUGAAAGCUCACAGCUCAACUGUGGAAUUGCAUUCGAAACUGCCGGGCUAGAGUACUGGAGGGGAGAAGGGAACACUUGGUGUAGCGGUGAAAUGCGUAGAUAUCAAGUGGAACACCGGUGGCGAAGGCGCUUCUCUGGACAGAUACUGACGCUCAUGGACGAAAGUUUGGGUAGCGAAAGGGAUUGGAUACCCCAGUAGUC